Molecule: long non-coding RNA, 823 nt
Organism: Nematostella vectensis (starlet sea anemone)
Lineage: Eukaryota; Metazoa; Cnidaria; Anthozoa; Actiniaria; Edwardsiidae
Exons: 2
Source: RefSeq, a predicted model, not a curated record
CAUGCGAAAGGAGUUCUGGGUAAUAACUGAUUACUCAAGAUUUACGGCUCUUUUAAUAUCUGAUCUCCAAAGUCAACCGAUGCGGUCAACACUCUGUCCUAGAUAUUUCAAGCUUUUCUUCUCUGAAACGCUACAUUAUGGCAUCCAGUUUAAAGCUGGAGCUGCUGGGCCAGAGACGGGGCUUCUAUGGCCUGGGGAGUUAGGAGGGGAGCUACUCGUUGUUGCGCUCCCGCGUGGGAUGGUGAAGCCGAAGGCAAAGACAUUUGUAGCUCCUCGAUUUGAGCCGAGAGAUCAGCAAUCUCUUGAGCAACAUUAGAUGUUUGUGAUUUGGAUACCAUUCCGGCGGAUGAGUUCGGAUUGAUAAAAAGCUAAGCGUGCUCUCAGUUGAAUAGGACGGUGAACUGAGCAAUCACAUCACAUGCUUGAGAUUAAAUAUCGUAUAACCUGGCAUUACCAACAUGCCAUUCUGAUUGGUGUACUAAUUGAUCUACGUUAUUAAUUACCCAUUUUGACAGGUCAAAAUUAACAAAUUUCAGACUGAAAUAAACCUUUUAUGAUUUUCAGACUGAAAUAAACCUUUUUUAAAUUUCAGACUGAAAUAAACCUUUUAUGAAUUUCAGACUGAAAUAUAUCAAGAACGCACUCCCACAUGCCUUUCGUCCAAUCAUGCAUCAAACGCCAGUCACGUGUGAACUAAUAAUGUGCCUGGUUGGCCGAGUCUCUUUGUGCAUCGGCCCAACUUUGGCCGUAACAUUCCACAAGCAAUGCUGACUGAAAUACGCAGUGUUCGCACGGGGUGGUUAGCUAUGUUAUCAAUUUAUUC